This 407-nucleotide ribosomal RNA is filed under the name Clostridioides difficile. RNAcentral describes it as "bacterial SSU rRNA". It matches the Rfam family "Bacterial small subunit ribosomal RNA", at positions 438 to 864 of the family's 1533-position model. Lineage: Bacteria; Bacillati; Bacillota; Clostridia; Peptostreptococcales; Peptostreptococcaceae. The record is from RNAcentral.
CUCAAGGAAGAUAAUGACGGUACUUGAGGAGGAAGCCCCGGCUAACUACGUGCCAGCAGCCGCGGUAAUACGGAGGGUGCUAGCGUUAUCCGGAUUUACUGGGCGUAAAGGGUGCGUAGGCGGUCUUGCAAGUCAGGAGUGAAAGGCUACGGCUCAACCGUAGUAAGCUCUUGAAACUGGGAGACUUGAGUGCAGGAGAGGAGAGUGGAAUUCCUAGUGUAGCGGUGAAAUGCGUAGAUAUUAGGAGGAACACCAGUUGCGAAGGCGGCUCUCUGGACUGUAACUGACGCUGAGGCACGAAAGCGUGGGGAGCAAACAGGAUUAGAUACCCUGGUAGUCCACGCUGUAAACGAUGAGUACUAGGUGUCGGGGGUUACCCCCCUCGGUGCCGCAGCUAACGCAUUAAG